CCUACGGUGUGCUGCAGUGGGGAAUAUUGGACAAUGGGCGAAAGCCUGAUCCAGCCAUGCCGCGUGUGUGAAGAAGGCCUUCGGGUUGUAAAGCACUUUCAGUGGGGAAGAAAGCCUUGGGGCUAAUACCCUCGAGGAAGGACAUCACCCACAGAAGAAGCACCGGCUAACUCCGUGCCAGCAGCCGCGGUAAUACGGAGGGUGCGAGCGUUAAUCGGAAUUACUGGGCGUAAAGCGCGCGUAGGCGGUCUGAUAAGCCGGUUGUGAAAGCCCCGGGCUCAACCUGGGAACGGCAUCCGGAACUGUCAGGCUAGAGUGCAGGAGAGGAAGGUAGAAGUCCCGGUGUAGCGGUGAAAUGCGUAGAGAUCGGGAGGAAUACCAGUGGCGAAGGCGGCCUUCUGGACUGACACUGACGCUGAGGUGCGAAAGCGUGGGUAGCAAACAGGAUUAGAUACCCUAGUAGUC
RNAcentral lists this ribosomal RNA (465 nucleotides) under Vreelandella stevensii. Its description in RNAcentral is "partial 16S ribosomal RNA". It matches the Rfam family "Bacterial small subunit ribosomal RNA", at positions 338 to 795 of the family's 1533-position model. Lineage: Bacteria; Pseudomonadati; Pseudomonadota; Gammaproteobacteria; Oceanospirillales; Halomonadaceae. The record is from RNAcentral.